Carassius gibelio (silver crucian carp) is the source of this 470-nucleotide long non-coding RNA. RefSeq lists it as uncharacterized. The record is from RefSeq and is a predicted model, not a curated record. NCBI's taxonomy places the organism in Eukaryota, Metazoa, Chordata, Actinopteri, Cypriniformes, Cyprinidae. The transcript is spliced from 3 exons.
CAUCCAUCUGAUCCAGAACCUCUAAUACACACUCACACACCUGCAACACCUGCUGUGCCUCAGGACUGUCUAACGGCCUAACACAUACAGAAUACACCAGACAUUGUCAAAAAUGGCACAAGAAGCAACCUUUUGUGUAUUUGUGUGAGUCCUAUGAUUAUGUUGAGGUUACCAGCAACGGCUGGCAUGUUUUUACCAAGGAUGGGAUAACCGUUCCUCAUCUGCACCAAAACACAAAACAAACAACAGCACAGAAGUCUGAUGCGCUGACAGAGAUUGACCUCCUCCUGGAACAUGACCAGCAGCUGAGAGUAGUUUGGAGCAAAAUGCUGGUGAACCUUCGGCCUCUCCAGCAGAGUGCCAAACAUCUGCAGGAGCUACAAACACAGGCUUUCAAUGUUAAAGACUUAGAGACAGGGUUUUCUCACACACUGAACUAAAUCAUGACAAUAAUAAAUCUUGUGUUUUGC